This 492-nucleotide ribosomal RNA is filed under the name uncultured bacterium. RNAcentral describes it as "partial 16S ribosomal RNA". It matches the Rfam family "Bacterial small subunit ribosomal RNA", at positions 29 to 507 of the family's 1533-position model. The record is from RNAcentral.
AGUGAACGCUGGCGGUAGGCCUAACACAUGCAAGUCGAACGGCAGCACAGUAAGAGCUUGCUCUUACGGGUGGCGAGUGGCGGACGGGUGAGGAAUACAUCGGAAUCUACUUUUUCGUGGAGGAUAACGUAGGGAAACUUACGCUAAUACCGCAUACGACCUACGGGUGAAAGCAGUGGAUCUUCGGACCUUGCGCGAUUGAAUGAGCCGAUGUCGGAUUAGCUAGUUGGCGGGGUAAAGGCCCACCAAGGCGACGAUCCGUAGCUGGUCUGAGAGGAUGAUCAGCCACACUGGAACUGAGACACGGUCCAGACUCCUAAGGGAGGCAGCAGUGGGGAAUAUUGGACAAUGGGCGCAAGCCUGAUCCAGCCAUACCGCGUGGGUGAAGAAGGCCUUCGGGUUGUAAAGCCCUUUUGUUGGGAAAGAAAAGCAGCAGGUUAAUACCCCGCUGUUCUGACGGUACCCAAAGAAUAAGCACCGGCUAACUUCGUG